AACGAACGCUGGCGGCAUGCCUAACACAUGCAAGUCGAACGAGACCUUCGGGUCUAGUGGCGCACGGGUGCGUAACGCGUGGGAACCUGCCCUUAGGUUCGGAAUAACUCCCCGAAAGGGGUGCUAAUACCGGAUAACGUCCUCGGACCAAAGAUUUAUCGCCUUUGGAUGGGCCCGCGUUGGAUUAGCUAGUUGGUAGGGUAAAAGCCUACCAAGGCGACGAUCCAUAGCUGGUCUGAGAGGAUGAUCAGCCACACUGGGACUGAGACACGGCCCAGACUCCUACGGGAGGCAGCAGUGGGGAAUAUUGGACAAUGGGCGAAAGCCUGAUCCAGCAAUGCCGCGUGAGUGAUGAAGGCCUUAGGGUUGUAAAGCUCUUUUACCCGGGAUGAUAAUGACAGUACCGGGAGAAUAAGCUCCGGCUAACUCCGUG
This 433-nucleotide ribosomal RNA is filed under the name uncultured bacterium. RNAcentral describes it as "partial 16S ribosomal RNA". It matches the Rfam family "Bacterial small subunit ribosomal RNA", at positions 29 to 507 of the family's 1533-position model. The record is from RNAcentral.